CGGCACGGGUGAGUAACACGUAUCCAACCUGCCGUCUACUCUUGGACAGCCUUCUGAAGGAAGAUUAAUACAAGAUGGCAUCAUGAGUCCGCAUGUUCACAUGAUUAAAGGUAUUCCGGUAGACGAUGGGGAUGCGUUCAUUAGAUAGUAGGCGGGGUAACGGCCCACCUAGUCUUCGAUGGAUAGGGGUUCUGAGAGGAAGGUCCCCCACAUUGGAACUGAGACACGGUCCAA
RNAcentral lists this ribosomal RNA (234 nucleotides) under uncultured bacterium. Its description in RNAcentral is "partial 16S ribosomal RNA". It matches the Rfam family "Bacterial small subunit ribosomal RNA", at positions 100 to 334 of the family's 1533-position model. The record is from RNAcentral.